This is a long non-coding RNA of Neogobius melanostomus (round goby), 2837 nucleotides long. The record is from Ensembl. NCBI's taxonomy places the organism in Eukaryota, Metazoa, Chordata, Actinopteri, Gobiiformes, Gobiidae.
UUAACGUGGUCCUACUCCAAGUACAUGGCAGCUCUGAAAAAGGAGGAGAUCCUACUGAGGAGGAAGAAUCAGCUGGAUGCAUCCUUCUCCACUUUCUCAGACUCCUCUUCCUGCAGUGUAAAGUCAGCCGGGACGGCCCCGAGUCAGAAGCAGCAGUCCCUUCGCUCCAGGACAGGCAGCCAGCAGCGGCAGAGAUACAGCCCGGGAGUGAAACCUUUUAACAUGAAGUAACUCUUGAAGAACGACCAACCUGAACCUGAAAAAGCUUUUCAAAUGGUGACAUUGUUAUCCAUCAUUUACAGUUUAUUAGCGAUGGACAGAUGAUACCUUAAGGUGUGUGUGACUAACAGUAUCGAGUGGAUUUGCCAAAAUAUCAGUCAUAAAUCCUUGUCUUUUUUUUAUUUUUUAUUAAAACAAAUCUCUCUCCUAAUAUAUAUUAUCCAUUUACAAAGGCAUUAGUUUUCAUACAGAGUUCACACAAUAAAAAGGCAAUUAUAUUUAGCACAUUUGCAUCAUCAGGGAUUGGCAACAACAGUCACAACUUUCAGUGUUAUUGAGAAACUCACAUCAUCUCUAAAAAACCUUUUGGUUGACAGCUAGUACACGGAGCGUCCGUCAUCAUGUUGAUAAUAUUGCACUUUACAUUGGCAUCAGACGGACUCAGAGGAGGACAGAGUAAACAAGGGGAGUUUUAGUGAGGAAAGAAACAGUGCAGCAGUUUCAGGUUCAAAAGCCCCAUUUAACGCAACAAAGACAAACUUGGUCCAACGGAAAGAACACGGCUGAAAAUGAGCGACCCUGAAUGUAAAGUAGGGCUGCACAAUGUGUCAAUAUAUGCUUUACCUCAUUGAUUUAGCCUUACGGUUGUAGAGUUUCAAGUUCCAGUCAUUUUUCUAAUAUUGGGGAAACCAGAUGCCAAAGUAUUCAAAUUUAUUUUUCUUAUAUCGUGCAGCCCUAUAAAGUUAUCAGUGUGAAAUGUUUUUAAAAUGUCACUGUGCAAAAGGUUAUACUGUAGUUAUGGCUCAACCACAUCACUUUCAAAAUGAAGAUUGUUUUCAUAGUGUUCAUCUUUGUAUCUGUCUCACAAUUUUUCAAGCAAAAAUAAAUACAUUUGAACUUGGAAAUGUGCUUUACAAUCCCUCAUAUUAUUUAUAUACUUUUCAACAACAGUAAAUUUGUCUCGGAAAAGGCUUUUUUGAUACAUAAUACAAAACCACACACAUAAGGCCUCUAGAUUGUAAAAAGUCUUUAACAAGCAGCUUUGAUAACACUCUGCAACUCGUCACAGCAGCCAAACAAAGGCAGAAUGAACUGUUGAGUAUGCAAAGGAGACACUAGAGUAUAGGGUUUAAAGCAGUGGUUCUCAAACUGUGGUAGAGGGAUCACCGGUGGCUGCGGUAAAUGAAGUUGCAGACUGUUACCAAAGCACUGCAGAGGGCACAUCACGGUCAUGACCAAAUACUGCGAAUAUUUAAAUGGAUAUCUUAGUGGAAUCCAAUCCUUAAGGCUUUGUUCUUGACCAUGUUGAACUUGCUGACGAACACUGUGGCGAAGGCGGGGUCCACCAGGUAUCGGUAGGACUUGGUGACAGAGGGAGGGGCCUCGGCGAGGGUGACCGCCGGCUGCAGCUGGACGGAGGCGACGGAGGGCGAGAGGAACUGAGAGGCACGAGUCACGAAGUCCACCAGCCGCUUAUACUGCUGCUCCGACAGACGCUCACGCACGCCAUCGCCCUGCGCAGAGGAGGAGGGGCUUAAUAUAGAAGCACAACAAAGCGCGGGGAUGUCAGUGUGGCAAAGAAAAGGGGAGACGGCAAAAGAUUUUAUAAAGAGUCACAUAUUACUUAUAUUACAUACAUACAACAUAAUUAUGACUUUUGUCUGCUCCUUUUAUUGUUGGAUAUUUCCACAGUAAACAAGUCACAUGAUUGUUAGGCUAUGUGCCCCUCCUGUUGCAUGUGUGCAGGCCUGGUGGUACUUGACAGAUCAAUUAUUUUAUAAGGUGGUACUUGAACAACAUCUUUAGAGACCAUUGCGCUACUACCACAUUUCAACAAUGGUAGGCAUUAUCGAAAGCUUUCCGUUUUAAAUGCUCAAACGUUGGCCAUUUCUGUUUCAUAGCAUAUUUAUUAGUAUAUAGCAAGAACUCAUAAUAUCAAAAAACAUAUUUGAAAUGAAAGAACCAUGUUUUGUCAUUUGAGAAUGGCCUUUCGUGGUGUGAUACCUCCGAGUCUUUGGUGACCGUCUGAUGCUGUAAGGUGAGCAUCAGUUCGCCCCGUUGUCCUGGGUCCUGCACGCACUCCACCUGCGGGACACAAUGACGUACGGGGGUUAGCAUCAGCAUCGGCUCUGUUUCUCGUCUGAUUGGAGGUUACCUCGGUGAUGGGGAAGGCCUGCUGCUGCGUGUCCUCACUCAGGCUGACCACAAACAGCACGUCGGUGGUGAGCAGCAGACAGCCCGCGUGCUCCUGCCCCGACCCGCUCACGAUGGUCACCUCCAGGGCCAUGUGCACCUCGGGACGCCCCAGAGACUGCAGCAUUUUCCUGGACACACACGAAAAGAGGAUUCAUUAGACACGGGUGUGUGAAGAACCACCAAACACACCAAAUUCUAUUGACAUUUUUAAAGCAGCUGGAGAGAGCAUUACCGAUACAUUAUUACUAGAAGGAAGGAUGUCAUAUUUUCUAGUUAGCUGCAGUGUAUUCACAACUCAAAGACCACAACCAUAAUAAUAGGACAAGUGAAUGUAAUCUGUAAGUGCAUUUAGUUCUAUACUUUCUAUAUAACAGUCUCUCUGGGAACCUUAACAAUUUCCUCAAAUGCACAAAGUGUUGAAA